CAACAAACUGUUAAUAGAAUAUAAACUCUAUGUGGGCAGAGACCAUCUUUCUGUCUAGCACGUAGUAGGCCUAUUAAAUGCCUGCUGAUUUGUGGUCCUGACCUCUCAGUGCCUCCAGGCAAUUCUGUAAGUUGAAAAGGCAACCAGUGAGAUCACGGAUUUGAUCCCUCUCUCAGAAAAAAAAAUCAUUGGCUCAUUGUGGGGCAAACAUAAAUGCUUUGUCAGGUGAGGUUAAGAGUGGAGGCAUAAUUUUAAGGGGAAUACUGCCAUUCUACCUCAGGUAUUGCUAGAUGUAUUGGCAAUGAUGGCUUUGUGUCUGCUCCUUUGAAGGCAGAGUGGGUGGAAGGAAAGGCAUUCUGAACACUGAUUUCUUGCAGGUUGAGAAACCAAGGAAUGGUUAAAGGUUCUGCCUGCGAGGGACAUCUACAGGGCUUUCAGGGUGAGCCAGAAGCAUUCCUCUUAUGACUUUAUCAAUGGGCACUAGGGCUCCAAACAACUCAUGCUGUGCUGCUUCCCUUGAACAUGAGGAGAUUUAUUAAAGGAUCAUUAGGAAUAAAGGAAUAAGAAG
Monodelphis domestica (gray short-tailed opossum) is the source of this 568-nucleotide long non-coding RNA. The record is from Ensembl. NCBI's taxonomy places the organism in Eukaryota, Metazoa, Chordata, Mammalia, Didelphimorphia, Didelphidae.